RNAcentral lists this long non-coding RNA (421 nucleotides) under Prunus persica (peach). RNAcentral describes it as "long non-coding RNA (PPER_LNC008369)". The record is from RNAcentral. Lineage: Eukaryota; Viridiplantae; Streptophyta; Magnoliopsida; Rosales; Rosaceae.
AACAAACGAAAAGAUUGAUUCCACAUACAAUUGAGAAGAAAGAAUUUAUGAGAGUGAGGGAAGAUAGGAGAAAUAAAUAUCGAGGAGGAGAUGGAGAAGCUGAUCAACAGUGGAGAGAUUGAGAUAGACGUAGGCUAAUGUUGAUUAGUUGAGAAAAAAAAAAAAAAAAAAGCACCCAUUUGGUAUCCAUUCAAAAAAAUAAACUUAAAAAUCGUGAUUUUUUUAAUAAAAAAUGUGAGUUUUCAAAUACUUAUUUUUAAGAUCUAAAAAAAUCAAAAACCCUAAAUUCUUAAAUUGAAAUUAACGAGAGAGAGAGGAAAAAAAAAACUAUAAAACCUCACAUUUUUGUUUUUUAAAAUUGGCCUUUUUUGAGUUGUUUUGGGGUUGCAUUUUUUAAAAAUGGGCUUUGAACUCAAAAAUU